RNAcentral lists this unclassified non-coding RNA (568 nucleotides) under Hevea brasiliensis (rubber tree). The record is from RNAcentral. Lineage: Eukaryota; Viridiplantae; Streptophyta; Magnoliopsida; Malpighiales; Euphorbiaceae.
AUUGGCACCUCAGCAGUCGAGGGAGCUGAUAAUGUCUCCAAUAAGAAACGAUUAGGGCUGGAUAUCCGACUCCCUUUUGGGGGCUGGUUGAGUCCUGCAUGGAGUAAAGGACAGAAGCAGCAGAUGAUGGAAGAUAAAAGGGAAUACAGAGAGGUACAUCCAUCACCUCUUCUUCCGAAGAUUACUAUGGUUGGUAUCUCAAUGGGUGAGGGUGGACAGGUGAGCAAAACCACUUUGAAGAAGACAAUGGAGGAUUUGACGAAAGAACUGGAAUAUACAGAUCAGAAAAGCUCAUCUGGGAAUAAUGUUGAUGAAAUAACAUUUGAGGAGAGGGAUCCUUUAUUCGUAGCUAACGUUGGUGACUAUCAUUCUAGUGCAGCAAAGGGAGGUUCAACUCGAUGGGUUCGAGGAGGAACCUUUUAAACAACCUCUGACCAGGUUUUUGUUCCUUGUCAAAUUAGCUGCUUACAAUGUAAUUCUAGGAAAUAAUUAAAUGUAUAUUAGUCUGCUGUUGCUGGCUUUAUAUUGUAGCUGGGAGAUAGUUUUCUCAGGUUUUAGCUGAUUGGAU